Quercus robur (English oak) is the source of this 371-nucleotide long non-coding RNA. RefSeq lists it as uncharacterized. Lineage: Eukaryota; Viridiplantae; Streptophyta; Magnoliopsida; Fagales; Fagaceae. The transcript is spliced from 3 exons. The record is from RefSeq and is a predicted model, not a curated record.
CCUUGCAGUGCCAUGACUACACAAUUGAAGAGCUCAUCACCAAGAGCUUCAAUAACGUCAUCUAGCAAUCAGAUUGGCUAGAUGAAUAUGGAGAAAGGAACUGAGGGCAACAAUACCAAAUCACAAGAAAAGGUGGUGGCAUUGAUGAAUAACUACCAAAUUUGAAAGCCAUUGAAGACUCAUCAAGUUUAAAUGUCGAGGUGCUUCAAUUCUGGGGGUAGUAGCUCGAGAUGAAAUGUAGUCUUAUGUUAAAGCUUGGACAAAGAAAUUUAAUUUGAAUGAUCCUUUAAUGGCAAAAGCAGUGUUCAUUAAAGGAUCACUGUAAUCAAAGGGUUGGAGCAUAUGGUUUAUUGUGUAGGGUUUGUGGCAUU